Molecule: ribosomal RNA, 443 nt
Filed under: uncultured bacterium
Lineage: Bacteria
Description: partial 16S ribosomal RNA
Rfam family: Bacterial small subunit ribosomal RNA
Source: RNAcentral
CCUACGGGUGGCAGCAGUGGGGAAUAUUGGGCAAUGGAGGCAACUCUGACCCAGCAACGCCGCGUGCAUGAUGAAGGUCUUCGGAUCGUAAAACCCUGUUGUUAGAGAAGAACGUGCGUGAGAGUACCUGAUGAAAAAGCAUCGGCUAACUCCGUGCCAGCGGCCGCGGUAAUACGGAGGAUGCGAGCGUUAUCCGGAUUUAUUGGGUUUAAAGGGUGCGUAGGCGGAAUGCCAAGUCAGCGGUAAAAUCGCGGGGCUCAACCUCGCUCCGCCGUUGAUACUGGCGUUCUUGAGUGGGCGAGAGGUAUGCGGAAUGCGUGGUGUAGCGGUGAAAUGCAUAGAUAUCACGCAGAACUCCAAUUGCGAAGGCAGCAUACCGGCGCCCAACUGACGCUCAUGCACGAAAGCGUGGGUAUCGAACAGGAUUAGAUACCCGGGUAGUC